UGCCAGCAGCCGCGGUAAUACGGAGGAUCCAAGCGUUAUCCGGAAUUAUUGGGUUUAAAGGGUCCACAGGCGGUCAAUUAAGUCAGAGGUGAAAGCCCAUCGCUCAACGAUGGAACUGCCUUUGAUACUGGUUGACUUGAGUUAUACGGAAGUAGAUAGAAUAAGUAGUGUAGCGGUGAAAUGCAUAGAUAUUACUUAGAAUACCGAUUGCGAAGGCAGUCUACUACGUAUAUACUGACGCUCAGACACGAAGGCUAGGGGAGCGAAAGGGAUUAGAUA
This 279-nucleotide ribosomal RNA is filed under the name uncultured bacterium. RNAcentral's name for it is "partial 16S ribosomal RNA". It matches the Rfam family "Bacterial small subunit ribosomal RNA", at positions 506 to 784 of the family's 1533-position model. The record is from RNAcentral.